RNAcentral lists this ribosomal RNA (956 nucleotides) under uncultured bacterium. RNAcentral describes it as "bacterial SSU rRNA". It matches the Rfam family "Bacterial small subunit ribosomal RNA", at positions 48 to 988 of the family's 1533-position model. The record is from RNAcentral.
GCUACACAUGCAGUCGAACGGUACGCGAGGAGCUUGCUCCUUGGCGACGAGUGGCGGACGGGUGAGUAACACUUGGGAAUCUGCCCUGUAGUGGGGGACAACACGGGGAAACUCGUGCUAAUACCGCAUACGUCCUACGGGAGAAAGUGGGGGAUCUUCGGACCUCACGCUAUUGGAUGAGCCCAAGUCGGAUUAGCUUGUUGGUAGGGUAAAGGCCUACCAAGGCGACGAUCCGUAGCUGGUCUGAGAGGACGAUCAGCCACACUGGGACUGAGACACGGCCCAGACUCCUACGGGAGGCAGCAGUGGGGAAUAUUGGACAAUGGGGGCAACCCUGAUCCAGCAAUGCCGCGUGUGUGAAGAAGGCCUGCGGGUUGUAAAGCACUUUCAGUAGAGAAGAAAAAAACCCAGGGUUAAUACCUCUGGGUCUUGACGUAACCUACAGAAGAAGCACCGGCUAACUCCGUGCCAGCAGCCGCGGUAAUACGGAGGGUGCGAGCGUUAAUCGGAAUUACUGGGCGUAAAGCGCGCGUAGGCGGUUGGAUUAGUCGGAUGUGAAAGCCCAGGGCUUAACCUUGGAAUUGCACUCGAAACUGUCCAGCUAGAGUAUGGGAGAGGGAAGCGGAAUUUCCGGUGUAGCGGUGAAAUGCGUAGAUAUCGGAAGGAACACCAGUGGCGAAGGCGGCUUCCUGGACCAAUACUGACGCUCAGGUGCGAAAGCGUGGGGAGCGAACAGGAUUAGAUACCCUGGUAGUCCACGCCGUAAACGAUGAGAACUAGAUGUUGGGAGGAUUUGCCUUUCAGUGUCGCAGCUAACGCAUUAAGUUCUCCGCCUGGGGAGUACGCCGGCAACGGUAAAACUCAAAAGGAAUUGACGGGGACCCGCACAAGCGGUGGAGCAUGUGGUUUUAAUUCCGAUGCAACCGCGAAAGAACCUUACCCUGGCCCUUGAACAU